Long non-coding RNA from Chiroxiphia lanceolata (lance-tailed manakin), 1007 nucleotides. RefSeq lists it as uncharacterized. The record is from RefSeq and is a predicted model, not a curated record. NCBI's taxonomy places the organism in Eukaryota, Metazoa, Chordata, Aves, Passeriformes, Pipridae. The transcript has 3 exons.
AGUCUGAUUACAAGUGAAGGCCUCACGUACCUGCCUCACAGGCACACACGGGGCCACAGGUCUCUCCUUGCCUUUUCCUCACAGAUUCGCCAGGGCCAGCUCCGCUCUGCCCCCGCCAUGCAGGGCCUCGGGGACAGUCUGUCCCCAGCCCACAGUGCCUGCCAGUGCCAGCGGCUCCAGGACGGGUGAGGGGAGAAGGCUCCUCUGCCCCCACACUGCUGCUGAGGGGAGGAGAGCCCGCAGAGCCGGGCUGGAGCUGUCGGCCAGGAGAUGAACACAGAGAGAUGGCCCUGGAGUAUUCCACGCUGAUACACAGAUGGAGUCAGAGCUGACUGGUCAAAGCUGUUCCUCUCACAGACACCAGUGAACACCUGUUGACAUGUGUGACCUCCCCAGCCUGGCUGUUGGUCUGACCUCACCUAGCCAACACGAGCACUUCAGCUGUCAACGACUUCACUGGAGAUGUGAACACUGGCCACUUCUGCCACUCAGAGCCCCAGUGGCAGGAGUGCGUGUCCAGCAAAGAACACAAAAUCGGGGAAAUUAAAUGUUCAAAAGGCUAACUGCCAGGGUCACAAGUUUGCAUAAAGCCGGCAGCGGUUCCAUUUCCAGACUGGGAGUGCUUCCCUGCUGUCCCUUCCCGAGAGCUGUUUCCCAAGCCCUGCUCUGACCCCCCCGGGCGAUCCCUCGGUGCUGUUCUGCCGCGGUGCGACCCACGCGUGGUGCCACGUCCCCGGGGACUGCGGGGAUUGGCUCAGGCAGUAAAACAUUUUUCUCCCAAGGGAACGGGCAGCUUUUGCCAAGGGAAUGGUCAGCUUUCACCGGGCAUGCACCUUUGUUUUGUACGGGGUUACGGGAGCAGCCCGAAGGCAGGGGAUGUACUUUUCGCCCCAAGAUAACAGAUCUGGGAGCUCCACAUGCUGAGCCUUCCCCCAGCACUCCAGUGAGGUUUCCCUAUGCGAUACACCGCCGGGGCGCGCACGGUCGCCCCUGCCCGCGCCGGGGCU